RNAcentral lists this ribosomal RNA (465 nucleotides) under uncultured bacterium. RNAcentral describes it as "bacterial SSU rRNA". It matches the Rfam family "Bacterial small subunit ribosomal RNA", at positions 329 to 792 of the family's 1533-position model. The record is from RNAcentral.
UGCCAGACUCCUACGGGAGGCAGCAGUGAGGAAUAUUGGUCAAUGGCCGAGAGGCUGAACCAGCCAAGUCGCGUGAGGGAAGACGGCCCUACGGGUUGUAAACCUCUUUUGUCGGGGAGCAAAGCGAACCACGUGUGGUUCAUUGAGAGUACCCGAAGAAAAAGCAUCGGCUAACUCCGUGCCAGCAGCCGCGGUAAUACGGAGGAUGCGAGCGUUAUCCGGAUUUAUUGGGUUUAAAGGGUGCGCAGGCGGAGGUGCAAGUCAGUGGUCAAAUUGCGGGGCUCAACCCCGUACUGCCGUUGAAACUGCAUCCCCUGAGUGCGCGAGAAGUAUGCGGAAUGCGUGGUGUAGCGGUGAAAUGCAUAGAUAUCACGCAGAACUCCGAUUGCGAAGGCAGCAUACCGGCGCGCAACUGACGCUCAUGCACGAAAGCGUGGGUAUCGAACAGGAUUAGAUACCCUAGUA